AUGCCCACUUUGUAGGCAAAUAUUCUAAAACUAGAAUGAUGCAGAGGACAGUGGCAUGGCCCUUGUACAAGGAUGAUACCCAAAUUAGUGAAUCAUAUUUUCUAAAU
Molecule: small nuclear RNA, 107 nt
Organism: Sorex fumeus (smoky shrew)
Lineage: Eukaryota; Metazoa; Chordata; Mammalia; Eulipotyphla; Soricidae
Source: RefSeq, a predicted model, not a curated record